RNAcentral lists this ribosomal RNA (274 nucleotides) under uncultured bacterium KC222. RNAcentral's name for it is "partial 16S rRNA". It matches the Rfam family "Bacterial small subunit ribosomal RNA", at positions 228 to 495 of the family's 1533-position model. The record is from RNAcentral. Lineage: Bacteria; Pseudomonadati; Pseudomonadota; Gammaproteobacteria.
AGCCUAGGUCGGAUUAGCUAGUUGGUGAGGUAAUGGCUCACCAAGGCGACGAUCCGUAACUGGUCUGAGAGGAUGAUCAGUCACACUGGAACUGAGACACGGUCCAGACUCUACGGGAGGCAGCAGUGGGGAAUAUUGGACAAUGGGCGAAAGCCUGAUCCAGCCAUGCCGCGUGUGUGAAGAAGGUCUUCGGAUUGUAAAGCACUUUAAGUUGGGAGGAAGGGCAUUAACCUAAUACGUUAGUGUUUUGACGUUACCGACAGAAUAAGCACCG